CGUAACACGUGAGCAACCUACCGAACUGUGGGGGAUAGCCGGCCUAACGGCCGAGUAAUACCGCAUACGCUUUCAGUGAGGCAUUUCAUUGAAAGGAAACCUACGGGACAGAUCGAGGGGCUCGCGGCCUAUCAGCUAGUUGGCGAGGUAACGGCUCACCAAGGCAACGACGGGUAGCUGGUCUGAGAGGAUGGCCAGCCACAUUGGGACUGAGAGACGGCCCAG
RNAcentral lists this ribosomal RNA (225 nucleotides) under uncultured bacterium. Its description in RNAcentral is "partial 16S ribosomal RNA". It matches the Rfam family "Bacterial small subunit ribosomal RNA", at positions 109 to 334 of the family's 1533-position model. The record is from RNAcentral.